Molecule: ribosomal RNA, 407 nt
Filed under: uncultured bacterium
Lineage: Bacteria
Description: partial 16S ribosomal RNA
Rfam family: Bacterial small subunit ribosomal RNA
Source: RNAcentral
AUUGAACGCUAGCGGGAUGCCUUACACAUGCAAGUCGAACGGAGUGGCGAACGGGAGAGUAAUGUAUCGGAACGUGACCAGUAGCGGGGGAUAACUACGCGAAAGCGUAGCUAAUACCGCAUACUAGUGGAGCGGCCGAUAGCGGAUUAGCUAGUUGGUGGGGUAACGGCUCACCAAGGCGACGAUCCGUAGCUGGUGUGAGAGGACGACCAGCCACACUGGAACUGAUACACGGCCCAGACUCCUACGGGAGGCAGCAGUGGGGAACUUUGGACAACUGGGCAAACCCGGAUACAGCCACCCCGCGUGUGUGAUGAAGGCCUUCGGGUUGUAAACCACCUGUGGCCGGAUAGCGGUGCCUGCAGAAUAGGCACCGGCUAACUACGUGCCAGCAGCCGCGGUAAUUC